This 470-nucleotide ribosomal RNA is filed under the name uncultured bacterium. Its description in RNAcentral is "bacterial SSU rRNA". It matches the Rfam family "Bacterial small subunit ribosomal RNA", at positions 335 to 798 of the family's 1533-position model. The record is from RNAcentral.
ACUCCUACGGGAGGCAGCAGUAGGGAAUCUUCCACAAUGGACGAAAGUCUGAUGGAGCAACGCCGCGUGAGUGAAGAAGGGUUUCGGCUCGUAAAACUCUGUUGUUAAGAAGAACAUAUCUGAGAGUAACUGUUCAGGUAUUGACGGUAUUUAACCAGAAAGCCACGGCUAACUACGUGCCAGCAGCCGCGGUAAUACGUAGGUGGCAAGCGUUGUCCGGAUUUAUUGGGCGUAAAGAGAAUGUAGGCGGUUUAUUAAGUUUGAAGUGAAAGCCCUCGGCUCAACCGAGGAAGUGCUUCGAAAACUGGUAAACUUGAGUGCAGAAGAGGAAAGUGGAACUCCAUGUGUAGCGGUGGAAUGCGUAGAUAUAUGGAAGAACACCAGUGGCGAAGGCGGCUUUCUGGUCUGUAACUGACGCUGAGAUUCGAAAGCAUGGGUAGCAAACAGGAUUAGAUACCCUGGUAGGAUAG